Molecule: long non-coding RNA, 785 nt
Filed under: Mytilus galloprovincialis (Mediterranean mussel)
Lineage: Eukaryota; Metazoa; Mollusca; Bivalvia; Mytilida; Mytilidae
Source: RNAcentral
UUAUUUGAAUCCAUUUACAAAUUUGUUUCAAUGUUGACUCUUUGACACAUUCCCCAUUUCUAUUCACAAUUUUGUAUUAACUUUGUAAAAUUAUAAUAAAGCAAAAAUUACAAAAUAAUCACUGUUCACACUGCUUCAUUAAAAGGCUUUCAGUUUGAAAACAUUACAAAAGUCUUACAAUCAUUCAUACAAAAAUAUUACUUAACUAUUGCCUAUUAAUUUUUAAGAAACAAACCUCACCAAAGAUACUGAACUUGAACCAUUAAAAUGAGUCACCUGUGAGAAGACGCUUGUACAAAGGUACCAGGAUUAUAUUUUUUUAAAAUACAUCUUAGAAUCUUCCAAUUUGAAAGAUACAGAUGACAUAUUGCUAUCUGAGAAACCAAACAAAAAUAUUCAUAUAUGGACAUAUGGGCCAUGAAAAUGAGGCCAAGGUCUGGAAUCCAGACCUGAUUCCAAAACACUUUGGGCCAUAACAUUCAAAGAAAUUCCCAACCUUUCCUUUGUCAUAUGGAAACUUGUUGUACAAUUAGGUACAGAUCCAAACAUUUAUUAAUCAGUUAUUGUCUAAGAAAAAGAAAAAUGCUUGUUGUUGGUCCCUUUUUCUUAAAUAGUUACGGCCAUAACCAGAUAACUCCCAUUCAGAAACUUUCUUUUGUGGUAUGAAACCGUGUGGUAAAAUUGAAUAUGAAUAGUAACUUGCAAUUUACUGAUUUUUGCAAAUGUUCUAUUUUUAUGUCAAUGUUGGUUAAAAAAAAUUGAAAUAUCUUGAUCAUCUGAUGGUG